This is a long non-coding RNA of Labrus mixtus (cuckoo wrasse), 695 nucleotides long. RefSeq lists it as uncharacterized. The record is from RefSeq and is a predicted model, not a curated record. The transcript is spliced from 3 exons. Lineage: Eukaryota; Metazoa; Chordata; Actinopteri; Labriformes; Labridae.
CAAGACAAAGGCAACAAGGAGUCAGGACCUGGUAUGCAUGCUGAGAUUUGAAGUCUAUCUUUUUUUUCUUUUCUUUUUUUUAGUAAAUGCUAUUCUGCUUCAGGGACACUUCACCAGUUAGUGUGAUGGAGGAACUCUCUAUUAAUUUAACUCUGUCACUUUGUCACACCUGGAAGCCCAUUUACACCAGAAAAAAUAAUACUGUGGUCAGGUUGGAAUCAUUCAAAUAAUAUAUUUCAUAAUGAAAAUAAGUGCACCAAACCAUUUUCCUACCAGGAGCAGAAGCUGCAGCGCCUCUGUGUGGCUGAACAGUGUCAUUGUAUGACAGCUGCGUGUGUUGCCUACAGAGCAAAGGUCGAUGCGACUUUGACAGUAGCCAAACGAAUUGAGGAAACCUGCCAGCCUCACAUCAAAUAUGCCUAUAGAGUUACUGUGACAUCUUCAGCAGCAGAAGGAGACUUUAUGACCUACACAGCCACCGUAGAUGAAGUUCUGAAAAACACCAUUAUGCAUGGUUAUUUUGGCUUCAUUGAAUCCAGGAUGGCCGCAAAACAAACCAGUUUCUGUUCAUGCUCUAAUCCCUCCUUAUGACAUCUCUACUUGAUCAACAUAAAUUAUGUUUAAGUACAGAGGUGUGUCUUUGAGAAAAAACUGGUUGUUGUUUUUAACUCUGCCUGAAACAAAAGCCUUAUACC